This 449-nucleotide ribosomal RNA is filed under the name uncultured bacterium. RNAcentral's name for it is "partial 16S ribosomal RNA". It matches the Rfam family "Bacterial small subunit ribosomal RNA", at positions 29 to 523 of the family's 1533-position model. The record is from RNAcentral.
AACGAACGCUGGCGGCAGGCUUAACACAUGCAAGUCGAACGCAUCCUUCGGGGUGAGUGGCAGACGGGUGAGUAACGCGUGGGAACGUGCCCUUCAGUUCGGGAUCACCCAGGGAAACUUGGGCUAAUACCGGAUACGUGCGAGAGCAGAAAGAUUUAUCGCUGAAGGAUCGGCCCGCGUCUGAUUAGCUAGUUGGUGGGGUAAUGGCCCACCAAGGCGACGAUCAGUAGCUGGUCUGAGAGGAUGAUCAGCCACAUUGGGACUGAGACACGGCCCAAACUCCUACGGGAGGCAGCAGUGGGGAAUAUUGGACAAUGGGCGCAAGCCUGAUCCAGCCAUGCCGCGUGAGUGAUGAAGGCCUUAGGGUUGUAAAGCUCUUUCGUCCGGGACGAUAAUGGCGGUACCGGAAGAAGAAGCCCCGGCUAACUUCGUGCCAGCCGCCGCAGUAA